This 3571-nucleotide long non-coding RNA is filed under the name Hordeum vulgare. Its description in RNAcentral is "long non-coding RNA (HVUL_LNC003631)". The record is from RNAcentral. Lineage: Eukaryota; Viridiplantae; Streptophyta; Magnoliopsida; Poales; Poaceae.
CCAACUCGGUCAUCCCCUUCCCGUGUACACGAGCACGGGGUCGUGGCGUCCAUCCGGGCCACCAUGGCCACUGAUGGCGCCCUGCCGGUCAUCCCACGGCUACCCGGGUGGAUAAGAGCAACCCCAUGCUCUCUCUCUCACCGCCCUGGAAACCCUACCCUCCAUUCGCGCUCCCCUCUCUCUCCCUCGCCUCUUCCCGCCGUUCCCGAGCUCCUGUCGCCAUGGAUGACCUAGUCGUCGUGGCCACCGUGCUCCUCGUCGCGUGAGAUGACGUCUAGGAGGUCCGCCGCGGGCGGAUCCGUCCGUUCUGGGGACCUGCUCAAGCCGGGACGGCCCGUACGAUCGCCAUCGCCACCAUCUUCGCCCACGGCCGCCACACCUCGCCGUCAAGUUCGUUGCAUCCCGGCCGCCCCGUGCCUUUGGACCUUGUCCACGAGCCUCCUGGUGAGCUCCUCUGUCGAUUCCCCUGGUUCCCGUGCUCGAUUCGUUGCCGUAGUUGUCGCCCCGAGUUCGUCCGUGCGCGCCCGUGCGUGGCCUCGGCGCUGCCGUGCUGCUGAUGUUGCGCCCCGCCGUCCGCCUGCUGCCGCAUCGCCGCGCCCCACGUCCACGCGCGCGCUCGUGCGCCCCUCCGUCGCCCAGCCUGCGCGGGCACCGUCGCGACCGCCCGCUAUCGUGCUCCUGCUGUUGCCCUGCUACUGCUGCUCUGCGCUGUUACUGCUGCUCUGCGCUGUUGCUCGCCUCGCCGCUUGCCGCUGUCAUGGUCGUCGUCGCCCCCGCGCACUUCUGCUGCUGCUGCUACGCGAGCGCUGCUACUCACCACGGCCAUGUCUGCUGGAUGCACCCCCGCGCUGUGCUUGCUGCAUCUUGGCCACAUUCAAGGCCUUGUGCGUGUGUGCUCUUGUGCAUGAUGCGCAACCACAUAUCGGCCGGCUUGUGUCACUCCACCUGAACCAGCCAAUUACUAAGGGCCUGAUUAAAGGAUGGUCAGGUCUAAUUAGAGCUAGGUUAACUUGUAGUAUAUGGCAUGUGGGACUCCCUUCAUUAAUUAAAUUAGUUAGUUGUUUUUUUAGCACAUAUGAUAAUGACAUGUGGGUCACACAUAUUGUGGACCAGUCAAUUUGACUGGGUCAACCUAACCUCGUGUCCCCACUUGUUAUGCACUCUAGCUAGAGUAGCACUAGAUGACAAAAGCAUUCACUGUUUUUAAUUCGAAAUUAAUAUAAUUAUAGAAUUUUAGAAAAUUAUUUAAACUUUGGAAAAUCAUAGAAAAUAAACUAUAAUCCGGAUGAAAAUAAUGUAUAUAUGAAAGUUGUUCAAAAAAUCCCACGAAUCCGAAUACGGUGUCCGUUCGUCUGUGACAUGCUCGGAGCAUGAUGAGCAUGGACAUUAUGCAAUAGGUUCAUCUGCUCGGUAAUAGCCAAAGGCCGGGAAAUGUCAUGAGAUAUUUUCCCCUUCGUGUGUAACUUUUAGUAUCGCGUUAGGUCAUCCCUGACACGGUGUAUUACCUUGUCAUGCUUUGUGGUGUGUUUGCUUGCUCUCUUAUUUAUUGUGUUUCCCCUUCGUUAUUUUCCUUUCCGGUAGACCCCGAGACCGAUGUUGAUCCGGUGAUCGACUACUUCAACGUCGGGGAUCUGUAUCUGUCUGCAGAGCAACAAGGCAAGCAAACCCCCCUUGAUCAUUCAUAUAUCGCCUAUGUCUUUCUUCCUACUGCUUGCAUUAGUAUUUUGCUACUGUUGUAGUUAGCUCCUAUAUCUGAUGCAUAGCCUAUUUUUGAUGAACUGCUACUUUCAGCAUUGUACCUUUAAUCUGCUUAGUAUAGGUGGAGCAGUCAUCCCCUCUGACCCUGUAGUCCAGUUGCCCCGCUUGUUUUGAAAUCUUGAUCCCUGAUCGAUGAGCCAGACCCGACACAACACAUACACCCUCCUUAGUUGUACGAAGCUACAGAGAUACUAUCGAGUACCAAGGGUGACACCUCGCUAAGUACUCCUGAUGAUAUCUCUGUAGUAUAGCUAGUCGGUCGUGGUUAUUGAGGAUGAUUCCUCUUUCACCAUUCCCGGCGAUGCCUCUGUCGUGCAACCCCUCAAGUAUGGGACUCCCGAGGGCGAUUCCUCUAAGCCCACCUUGACGGAUACAUCGUUCGGAAUCCAACGAGGGUGAUACCUCGGACCCCGCCGAUGUUACAACCACACAGUUACUCGACCAUGUUACUGGGAUCAUUGGUGGUUAGUUGUUAAGACGGGUGGAUUCCCGCGAGACUGUGUUGAUGGCCUAAUUAAAAUGUUAAUGGAUUUGGGUAUUUGAUCUGGGUUGGUCGGAGACCUUUUCGCACUAACCGUCUACGUGGGAAAAAUUAUGGGUACUCGGCGUCGCGGUACCAGCCGAAGCUUUUCAGAUGUCAGCAACGUAGUGGCGCGCGCCCGAGUGGUCCCGAGAUGCAUUGCGCUUGUGAUUAAGGGAUGCUAGGACUCACGUCGGCCGCCCUCGCACCAUGCAGGAGCGCGGAGGGGAACUGGCCCCAUGAACCCUUUGCGCUUAGGAUUUAGACCGGUGGGCUGGCCUCUCUGAUUAGUCUUAGGUGGGGUUGCGACGUGUCGAUAUUCCGAGGCCGGGCAGGACUCAGAAAAAUGUGUCCGGCCAGAGUGUUAUCGAGCGCGUCGGGACAUGUGGUGCACCCCUACAGGGAUGAAAAUUAACUAUUCGAAUAGCUGUGUCCACGGUUACAGGACGACUUGGAGUUGUGCCCUGAUCUUAUACAACUACAAUUGUUACUUAAUUGGAUCAUUAGUUGCCUCGAGAUUGCUUCCUCGCAUGGAGUCGAGGGAGGAUCUCUGGGCGUGACCUCACUUUAAUAUGUUGCAACAAUAUGACUUUUAUUUGUGUUAACCCCUGUUCUACUCUCGUCUAUUGCUGCAAGACCCUGAAGAUGCUAGUCUUCAAUAGGACUAGGCCUUCUCUCUCUAUUCUCGCAUUGCUGCAGUCAGCCCACAUAUAAACCCCCCCUUCUUUGAUACUGAUGCAUAUUUAGAAUAGUUCUGAUGUAAGACUUGCGAGUACUUUGGAUGAGUACUCACCGCUGCUUUGCUCCCCCCUUGUCCCCUUGAUCCGUUUGCCGCGACCAGAUGAUGGAGCCCAGGAGAUGGAGUUUCCUGCCGAUGUCUGCCAUCCCGAUGGUGUCUUCUUCAUGGAGGCCGCUGAAUACCAGGAGUAGUUAGGAGGUUCCCAGGCAGGAGGCCUCGCCUCGUUCGAUCGUGUUUCUUUUGUGCUUGCCUUCUCUAAGGCACUCCAUGUUUUAUGUCUGUACUCACAUAUUUGUUGCUUCCGCUGACUCGUGUGCUUAUCGAGCUUCUGUAUUCUAGCCCUCGAGGCCCCUGACUUGUAAUAUGAAGCUUGUAUUAUUUUAUUUGUGUCUAGAGUUGUGUUGUGAUAUCUUCCCGUGAGUCCUUGGUUUUGAUCGUACGCAUUUGCGUGUAUGAUUAGCGUACGAUUAAAUCGAGGGCGUCACACGGGUGUCGGUUUCUUCAACUUUAGUUGAAUUGGUUUUGACCGAGGCGGUCCGAGAGAGAGGUUAAAU